UGCCUCAGAUACACUGAAGAAAAAAAAGAAAAGAGAGAGAGUCAGAGAAAGCUCUGAAGAAAAAGAAGAGAGUUGAGUUGAGUGAAGUGUGAUCCUCAUCCUUUGUAAUAUUUUUUUGUAUUUCACUAUUUAUUAGUGAAACUCUUUUUGUGAAUGUAGGCAGUUGCCAAGCCACGUUAAAUUUUUGGUGUCACUGUGUGCGUGGGUAUGUUUAUUUAUUCCACUGUGUG
This is a long non-coding RNA of Juglans microcarpa x Juglans regia, 230 nucleotides long. RefSeq lists it as uncharacterized. NCBI's taxonomy places the organism in Eukaryota, Viridiplantae, Streptophyta, Magnoliopsida, Fagales, Juglandaceae. The transcript is spliced from 4 exons. The record is from RefSeq and is a predicted model, not a curated record.